This 499-nucleotide ribosomal RNA is filed under the name Escherichia coli. Its description in RNAcentral is "partial 23S ribosomal RNA". It matches the Rfam family "Bacterial large subunit ribosomal RNA", at positions 474 to 973 of the family's 2925-position model. RNAcentral also lists the same sequence under 1 other name. The record is from RNAcentral. Lineage: Bacteria; Pseudomonadati; Pseudomonadota; Gammaproteobacteria; Enterobacterales; Enterobacteriaceae.
UCCUGACUGACCGAUAGUGAACCAGUACCGUGAGGGAAAGGCGAAAAGAACCCCGGCGAGGGGAGUGAAAAAGAACCUGAAACCGUGUACGUACAAGCAGUGGGAGCACGCUUAGGCGUGUGACUGCGUACCUUUUGUAUAAUGGGUCAGCGACUUAUAUUCUGUAGCAAGGUUAACCGAAUAGGGGAGCCGAAGGGAAACCGAGUCUUAACUGGGCGUUAAGUUGCAGGGUAUAGACCCGAAACCCGGUGAUCUAGCCAUGGGCAGGUUGAAGGUUGGGUAACACUAACUGGAGGACCGAACCGACUAAUGUUGAAAAAUUAGCGGAUGACUUGUGGCUGGGGGUGAAAGGCCAAUCAAACCGGGAGAUAGCUGGUUCUCCCCGAAAGCUAUUUAGGUAGCGCCUCGUGAAUUCAUCUCCGGGGGUAGAGCACUGUUUCGGCAAGGGGGUCAUCCCGACUUACCAACCCGAUGCAAACUGCGAAUACCGGAGAAUGUU